Molecule: ribosomal RNA, 468 nt
Filed under: uncultured bacterium
Lineage: Bacteria
Description: partial 16S ribosomal RNA
Rfam family: Bacterial small subunit ribosomal RNA
Source: RNAcentral
GACGAACGCUGGCGGCGUGCUUAACACAUGCAAGUCGAACGGAAAGGCCCUGCUUUUGUGGGGUGCUCGAGUGGCGAACGGGUGAGUAACACGUGAGUAACCUGCCCUUGACUUUGGGAUAACUUCAGGAAACUGGGGCUCAUACCGGAUAGGAGCUCCUGCUGCAUGGUGUGGGUUGGUAAGUUUCGGCGGUUGGGGAUGGACUCGCGGCUUAUCAGCUUGUUGGUGGGGUAGUGGCUUACCAAGGCUUUGACGGGUAGCCGGCCUGAGAGGGUGACCGGCCACAUGGGGACUGAGAUACGGCCCAGACUCCUACGGGAGGCAGCAGUGGGGAAUAUUGCACAAUGGGCGGAAGCCUGAUGCAGCAACGCCGCGUGCGGGAUGACGGCCUUCGGGGUGUAAACCGCUUUCGCCGGUGACGAAGCGUGAGUGACGGUAAUGGGUAAAGAAGCACCGGCUAACUACGUG